AACGAACGCUGGCGGCAUGCCUAACACAUGCAAGUCGAACGAGACCUUCGGGUCUAGUGGCGCACGGGUGCGUAACGCGUGGGAACCUGCCCUUAGGUUCGGAAUAACUCCCCGAAAGGGGUGCUAAUACCGGAUAAUGUCUUCGGACCAAAGAUUUAUCGCCUUUGGAUGGGCCCGCGUUGGAUUAGCUAGUUGGUAGGGUAAAAGCCUACCAAGGCGACGAUCCAUAGCUGGUUUGAGAGGAUGAUCAGCCACACUGGGACUGAGACACGGCCCAGACUCCUACGGGAGGCAGCAGUGGGGAAUAUAGGAAAAUGGGCGAAAGCCUGAUCCAGCAAUGCCGCGUAAGUGAUGAAGGCCUUAGGGUUGUAAAGCUCUUUUACCCGGGAUGAUAAUGACAGUACCGGGAGAAUAAGCGCCGGCUAACUCCGUG
RNAcentral lists this ribosomal RNA (433 nucleotides) under uncultured bacterium. RNAcentral's name for it is "partial 16S ribosomal RNA". It matches the Rfam family "Bacterial small subunit ribosomal RNA", at positions 29 to 507 of the family's 1533-position model. The record is from RNAcentral.